RNAcentral lists this ribosomal RNA (899 nucleotides) under uncultured Actinomycetes bacterium. Its description in RNAcentral is "uncultured actinobacterium partial 16S ribosomal RNA". The record is from RNAcentral. Lineage: Bacteria; Bacillati; Actinomycetota; Actinomycetes.
UACCUUGUUACGACUUAGUCCCAAUCGCCAGUCCCACCUUCGACAGCUCCCUCCCACAAGGGGUUAGGCCACCGGCUUCGGGUGUUACCAACUUUCGUGACUUGACGGGCGGUGUGUACGAGGCCCGGGAACGUAUUCACCGCAGCGUCGCUGAUCUGCGAUUACUAGCGACUCCGACUUCAUGGGGUCGAGUUGCAGACCCCAAUCCGAACUGAGACCGGCUUUUUGGGAUUAGCUCCACCUCACAGUAUCGCAACCCUUUGUACCGGCCAUUGUAGCAUGCGUGAAGCCCAAGACAUAAGGGGCAUGAUGAUUUGCCGUCGUCCCCACCUUCCUCCGAGUUGACCCCGGCAGUCUCCUAUGAGUCCCCACCAUCACGUGCUGGCAACAUAGAACGAGGGUUGCGCUCGUUGCGGGACUUAACCCAACAUCUCACGACACGAGCUGACGACAACCAUGCACCACCUGCGAACCGGCCCCAAAGGGGGAACCACAUUUCUGCGGCGGUCCGGUCCAUGUCAAGCCCUGGAAAGGUUCUUCGCGUUGCAUCGAAUUAAUCUGCGUGCUCCGCCGCUUGUGCGGGCCCCCGUCAAUUCCUUUGAGUUUUAGCCUUGCGGCCGUACUCCCCUGGCGGGGCACUUAAUGCGUUAGCUACGGCGCGGAAAACGUGGAAUGUCCCCCACACCUAGUGCCCAACGUUUUACGGCAUGGACUACCAGGGUAUCUAAUCCUGUUCGCUCCCCAUGCUUUCGCUCCUCAGCGUCAGUUAAUGCCCAAAGACCUGCCUUCGCCAUCGGUGUUCCUCCUGAUAUCUGCGCAUUUCACCGCUCCACCAGGAAUUCCAGUCUCCCCUACAUCCUCUAGUCUGCCGUACCCCCCUGCAAAACCGGAGUUGAGCC